This 208-nucleotide non-coding RNA is filed under the name Cupriavidus sp. YR651. Lineage: Bacteria; Pseudomonadati; Pseudomonadota; Betaproteobacteria; Burkholderiales; Burkholderiaceae. The record is from RNAcentral.
AAAGUCCCUGGCAGCAGAAGAUCUAGCGAAUCACGCUGUCCCCGAGUCAUGCGUUGUGAGUCGCGAGGCGCGCAACGAAGCGUUGACAGGGGUGCGUAUAGGCCAGCCAUUGAGCCGCGAAAAAUUUAUCCAGUCCCGAGUGUCAACGCCAAUCGAAAUUUGCACGUUUGGGGCGGCCGAAACUUGCAAAGAGCCAAGCCAAUGUUCC